GACGAACGCUGGCGGCGUGCUUAACACAUGCAAGUCGAACGAUGAAGCUGGAGCUUGCUCCGGUGGAUUAGUGGCGAACGGGUGAGUAACACGUGAGCAAUCUGCACUUCACUCUGGGAUAACUGCGGGAAACUGUAGCUCAUACCGGAUACGAGACCUUGGGGCAUCCCAGGGACUGGAAAGAAUGUGGGUGAAGGAUGAGCUCGCGGCCUAUCAGCUAGUUGGUGAGGUAAUGGCUCACCAAGGCGACGACGGGUAGACGGCCUGAGAGGGGAACCGGCCACACUGGGACAGAGACACGGCCCAGACUCCUACGGGAGGGAGCAGAGGGGAAGAUUGCACAAAGGGGGAAAGCCUGAUGCAGCAACGCCGCGUGAGGGGUGAGAGCCUUCGGGUUGUAAACCUCUUUUAGUAGGGAAGAAGCGCAAGUGACGGUACCUACAGAAAAAGCACCGGCUAACUACGUGCCAGCCGCCGCGGUAA
This 483-nucleotide ribosomal RNA is filed under the name uncultured bacterium. RNAcentral's name for it is "partial 16S ribosomal RNA". It matches the Rfam family "Bacterial small subunit ribosomal RNA", at positions 28 to 523 of the family's 1533-position model. The record is from RNAcentral.